RNAcentral lists this ribosomal RNA (353 nucleotides) under uncultured bacterium. RNAcentral's name for it is "partial 16S ribosomal RNA". It matches the Rfam family "Bacterial small subunit ribosomal RNA", at positions 338 to 688 of the family's 1533-position model. The record is from RNAcentral.
CCUACGGGAGGCUGCAGUGAGGAAUAUUGGUCAAUGGACGCAAGUCUGAACCAGCCAUGCCGCGUGCAGGAAGACGGCUCUAUGAGUUGUAAACUGCUUUUGUACGAGGGUAAACGCAGAUACGCGUAUCUGUCUGAAAGUAUCGUACGAAUAAGGAUCGGCUAACUCCGUGCCAGCAGCCGCGGUAAUACGGAGGAUUCAAGCGUUAUCCGGAUUUAUUGGGUUUAAAGGGUGCGUAGGCGGUCGGAUAAGUUAGCGGUGAAAUCCCGAGGCUCAACUUCGGAAUUGCCUCGGAUACGGGUCGGCUAGAGAGUAGUGGGGGUAGGCGGAAGGUAUGGGGUAGGGGGGAAAUG